GGGACAUGUAAAAACUAAGCCUUUAACACUGUUUGUUUCUCCCUUGAGUAAGCCAUCUUAGUCUGUGGGCAACUUUGCAUGUGUUGUCAAGAGUGCAUGUUUCUAUUUGUCCGAAUGCUUCUGCCAGACGCAGAGGAGCCAGGCCGGAAAGGGAGCUGGCAGCCUCCAUGGCCGAGCUUGGCUCCAAAGGGAGAGCUCUUUUCUGUUUGGACUCAAAGGCUGGCCAAGACUGCUCGGAACUCCCAGACCUUAGGUGUUUACCUGGUCGCCAAGGCAACCAGGUUCCGGGCCGGUCCUGUGUUGCUCAGUCCCCUCGUGGACUUGGUGGCAGUUGGAAGCUCCUCCGAGGUCUUCUGGCUGGGGGUGUUUGCUUGCGCCCGUGUGCCGUCCCUUCUACUUGGGUGAGACCAAGUCCUUGAGCCCCUGGAGAUCAUGGCUCCUCGUCUGAGAAGAAACAGAAAAGCCAAGUGGUGGCGGCUGCUCUGUUGCUUCUCCCGCACCACAAAGGAAGAAGAGGCUCCCGAGUCCCCUCCUGCCAGUCCACCAGAGCCAACGAACGUGACCUAUGAGGUAGAAGGAAGCUCCAGCCCUCGGGAUUUCCUCGACAGCGAAGGAACUCUUGAUAAUAUCAGCAGCAUCCGCGACGAAGACUCAACCCCUACCCCCACAUCUGACAUUGCAUCGGAGCCAAGGAAGAACGUGACUUACGAUGUGGAAGAGACCUCCAGACCCUUGGAUUACCGAGACCAACAGGACACACUGGAUGAUGUGAGCAGCAUCAAGGAUGAGGAGUGGUUCCCCUCUUCCAAGUCGGCCAGGUAGGCCCUUCUCAGGUAGUGGAAAGGUCAGGGAGGGCAUCCGUUUUUGCAAGAGGUCUGUCCCAAUUUGGUCACUUCACUUAUUAGAGAGUCAAGGGGUGGAUUCUUAAGGAACAAUAAGCCAAGCCCUCCACCUUGUUGUGGAUGAGCAUCCUGCUGGUGCCCUUUGUUCAGCUCCUCUCACUUGAAGCGUUACCUGGGUCUGCUGGGUGUUCUGGCACCAAGACGCUCCGCUCCCCCCUCCCCAUGUUUGUUCCCUUCUGGUCAGUGGAGAAAAACUCCACGGUUUGUCCUUGGGUUCCUUCUCCACUCUGUUGAGAGGGAACCAACCAGAAAAGGAAUCUGUCCGCUGGCAGAGGACACAAGAAAAAAAAAUUAGAGAGAAACCCCUGCUUUCUUUGAUUGCUCCUUCAGACAGUGGUAAUCAAGAAGGCUCAUGCAUCAUCACAGUAAUCUUAUACAAUAAGAGGCAAUAACCCUGUCGGUCUGGUGUCUAACUUGUUGUGUUGUCUGAAGUCUCCCAGUAUUUCCUUGAUUCUCAUGGUAAAAUUAGAUCUUGGCCUGGGACAGAAUACAUUGUCUCUUUAAGGACGGAACAAAAUAUAUGCUCUCUGUUGUCUUCCUGGCAUGUUUCUCCGUUUCGGGGGGAUCUGGGUGCUCACACUUUCAUAGUUGUGUCUGGCACAGCAAGGCUCCUCCUCUGCUUUUAUUUUCUGACCCAUCAAUUCCCUCU
This 1551-nucleotide long non-coding RNA is filed under the name Pogona vitticeps (central bearded dragon). RNAcentral's name for it is "lncRNA (ENSPVIG00000019226.1)". Lineage: Eukaryota; Metazoa; Chordata; Lepidosauria; Squamata; Agamidae. The record is from RNAcentral.